Molecule: long non-coding RNA, 258 nt
Filed under: Lathyrus oleraceus (garden pea)
Lineage: Eukaryota; Viridiplantae; Streptophyta; Magnoliopsida; Fabales; Fabaceae
Description: Pisum sativum (pea) long non-coding RNA (PSAT_LNC032764)
Source: RNAcentral
GAAUCUGAGAGUGUCUUCGAUGUCACCAGCACAUGAAGAAGGAGAAGAAAGCUUUCGUUUGGAAAGAAGAGUGAUUGAGUUGAUGGAGAGUGAAUUGUUGUGAAGACGAGGAGAAGAAGAAGGUGUUGAAGAAGUACAGCAAGAAGAAAGAGAACGAGCGAAAAUCGAAGAAGAAGAAGAAGUAACAGAAGCAUAAGCUGCUUCUAUGAAAGCCAUUUCUUCGUCGGUGACAAAUUCAAUUGGAAUAUUGUUUUUAUU